RNAcentral lists this unclassified non-coding RNA (236 nucleotides) under uncultured Suillus. RNAcentral's name for it is "sequence contains ITS2". Lineage: Eukaryota; Fungi; Basidiomycota; Agaricomycetes; Boletales; Suillaceae. The record is from RNAcentral.
AAUUCUCAACCCCUCUCGAUUUACUUCGAUAGGGUGCUUGGAUAGUGGGGGCUGCCGGAGACCUAGACUUUUUGUCCAGGACUCGGGCUCUCCUGAAAUCAAUCGGCUUGCGGUCGGCUUUCGACUAUGCAUGACAAGGCUUUUGGCGUGAUAAUGAUCGCCGUCUGCUGAAGUGCAUGAAUGAACGUCCCGUGCCUCUAAUCUGUCGAUGCCUUAUGGGCCUCUUCUUUAUUGAC